RNAcentral lists this ribosomal RNA (388 nucleotides) under uncultured bacterium. RNAcentral's name for it is "bacterial SSU rRNA". It matches the Rfam family "Bacterial small subunit ribosomal RNA", at positions 28 to 417 of the family's 1533-position model. The record is from RNAcentral.
GACGAACGCUGGCGGCGUGCUUAACACAUGCAAGUCGAGCGGUAAGGCCCUUUCGGGGGUACACGAGCGGCGAACGGGUGAGUAACACGUGGGUGACCUGCCCUCAGCUCUGGGAUAAGCCUGGGAAACUGGGUCUAAUACCGGAUAUGACUCCAUGACGCAUGUUGUGGGGUGGAAAGCCUUGUGCGGCUGAGGAUGGGCCCGCGGCCUAUCAGCUUGUUGGUGGGGGAUGGCCUACCAAGGCGACGACGGGUAGCCGGCCUGAGAGGGCGACCGGGCCACACUGGGACUGAGACACGGCCCAGACUCCUACGGGAGGCAGCAGUGGGGAAUCUUGCGCAAUGGGCGAAAGCCUGACGCAGCGACGCCGCGUGAGGGAUGACGGCCU